GACGGAGGGAGCUAGCGUUGUUCGGAAUGACUGGGCGUAAAGGGCGCGUAGGCGGUUUUUUAAGUGAGGCGUGAAAGCCCUGGGCUUAACCCAGGAGGUGCGUUUCAGACUGGAAGACUUGAGGACGAGAGAGGAAAGUGGAAUUCCUAGUGUAGAGGUGAAAUUCGUAGAUAUUAGGAAGAACACCAGUGGCGAAGGCGACUUUCUGGCUCGUAACUGACGCUGAGGCGCGAAA
RNAcentral lists this ribosomal RNA (235 nucleotides) under uncultured bacterium. RNAcentral's name for it is "partial 16S ribosomal RNA". It matches the Rfam family "Bacterial small subunit ribosomal RNA", at positions 524 to 758 of the family's 1533-position model. The record is from RNAcentral.